AGAGUUUGAUCCUGGCUCAGGAUGAACGCUAGCGACAGGCUUAACACAUGCAAGUCGAGGGGCAGCAUAAAAGUAGCAAUACUUGGUGGCGACCGGCGCACGGGUGAGUAACGCGUAUGCAACCUACCUAUCAGAGGGGAAUAACCCGGCGAAAGUCGGACUAAUACCGCAUAAAACCAGGGGCACCGCAUGGUGAUAUUUGUUAAAGAAAUUCGCUGAUAGAUGGGCAUGCGUUCCAUUAGGUAGUUGGUGAGGUAACGGCUCACCAAGCCGACGAUGGAUAGGGGAACUGAGAGGUUGGUCCCCCACACUGGUACUGAGACACGGACCAGACUCCUACGGGAGGCAGCAGUGAGGAAUAUUGGUCAAUGGGCGGGAGCCUGAACCAGCCAAGUCGCGUGAAGGAAGAAGGAUCUAUGGUUCGUAAACUUCUUUUGCAGGGGAAUAAAGUGCAGGACGUGUCCUGUUUUGUAUGUACCCUGAGAAUAAGGAUCGGCUAACUCCGUGCCAGCCGCCGC
Molecule: ribosomal RNA, 518 nt
Filed under: uncultured bacterium
Lineage: Bacteria
Description: bacterial SSU rRNA
Rfam family: Bacterial small subunit ribosomal RNA
Source: RNAcentral